This 870-nucleotide long non-coding RNA is filed under the name Heterocephalus glaber (naked mole-rat). RNAcentral's name for it is "lncRNA (ENSHGLG00100034695.1)". Lineage: Eukaryota; Metazoa; Chordata; Mammalia; Rodentia; Bathyergidae. The record is from RNAcentral.
ACAAGUUCAAGGCCAGCCUGGGCUACAUAGUUCAAGUCCCAAAACAAAGACUAGCAGCUGUCUUCCUUGGGCCAACUUUUAUCUGAUAUGUAUACCAAAAAUGUAAGCCAGAGGAAAUGAUGCAGGUGUCAAGCUGGCUGAACUCAGAUGAUUAGGAGCUCAGGUGCUGGGGAUGACGAUGAGGAGAAUUUGCAUCUUCCAGAAGAAAAGAUGGAGCACUGGGGCCCAGCAUGAGGAGGCCUUCAGUGAAGAAAGCAGAAGAAAGGUACCUCAUCAGCAGUGUGUGCAAACCUCGGGCUCUUAUGAUUGUCUCAGUUUGAAAAAACCUCCUCCUAAUAUACAACCAUCUGAGCUGGCUGUGGUGAUGCACGCCUGUAAUCCUAGCACUCUGGGAGGCUGAGACAGGAAGAGGACAAGUUUGAGCCUGGUCUGGGCAACUCAUUGAGACGCUAUCCCAAAAUAAAAAUAAAAAGGGCUGAGGAGGUAGCUAGCUCAUCUUUGCGCUAAACUAGUAUGGCCAGAGAUCUUAACAGAGACACACUUAAUCAUUCAUUCAACGAACACCGACCAGGUACUGUGUCACUGGGACACAAUACCUGUCACUCACAAGUUAAAGAAGGAAAGGUUUAUUUUAGUUCAAUUUGUAGAGGUUUCAGUCCAUAGUCGGCUGGCCCCAAGGCAGGGUGGCACACUGCAGAGGGGCAUCGCAGAGGAGAGCAGGCAAGAAGCAGGGAAAAGGCCAGGGAGGAGGAGGGAGACAGACCCUGCCAGGCCACGCCCCCAGUGACACCUCCUCCCAUCAGGCCAUACCUCUCCACAUCACAUUCAGCCGUAAACCCGUCACCGACUGAUCCACUGAUCCAGUCCCCC